This is a small nuclear RNA of Jaculus jaculus (lesser Egyptian jerboa), 108 nucleotides long. The record is from Ensembl. Lineage: Eukaryota; Metazoa; Chordata; Mammalia; Rodentia; Dipodidae.
GCACUCAUGUUAGUAGCACUUAUACUGAGAUUGGAACAAUACAGAGAAGUUUAGCUUGGCCUCUGUGCAAAAGAUGACAUACAGAUUCAUGAAACAUUCCACAUUUUU